This 57-nucleotide transfer RNA is filed under the name Harpactocrates apennicola. RNAcentral's name for it is "tRNA-Pro". Lineage: Eukaryota; Metazoa; Arthropoda; Arachnida; Araneae; Dysderidae. The record is from RNAcentral.
CACUUUUUAAUUUAUUAAAAUAUCUGUCUUGGAUACAGAAAAUAUCUAUAUUAUUAU